CGGUUGAUCCUGCCGGAAGUCACUGCUAUCGGGGUUCGAUUAAGCCAUGCGAGUCGAGAGGGUUCGGCCCUCGGCGUACUGCUCAGUAACACGCGGAUAACCUGCCCUAAGGAAGGGGAUAACCCCGGGAAACUGGGGAUAAUACCCUAUAGGUUACAGGUGCUGGAAUGCUCUGUAACCCAAAGUUCCGACGCCUUAGGAUGGAUCUGUGGCCGAUUAGGUUGUUGUUGGGGUAACGGCCCAACAAGCCUGUAAUCGGUACGGGUUGUGGGAGCGAGAGCCCGGAGUUGGAUUCUGAGACACGAAUCCAGGCCCUACGGGGCGCAGCAGGCGCGAAAACUUUACAAUGCGGGCAACCGUGAUAAGGGAACCUCGAGUGCCUGUACAUGCAGGCUGUCCAGGUGUCUAAAAAACAUCUGAAGAAAGGGCCGGGCAAGACCGGUGCCAGCCGCCGCGGUAAUACCGGCGGCUCGAGUGGUGGCCACUUUUAUUGGGCUUAAAGCGUUCGUAGCUGGGUUGUUAAGUCUCUUGGGAAAUCUGGCGGCUUAACCGUCAGGCGUCUAAGAGAUACUAGCAAUCUUGGAACCGGGAGAGGUGAGGGGUACUUCGGGGGUAGGAGUGAAAUCCUGUAAUCCUCGAGGGACCACCUGUGGCGAAGGCGCCUCACCAGAACGGCUUCGACAGUGAGGGACGAAAGCUGGGGGAGCAAACCGGAUUAGAUACCCGGGUAGUCCCAGCCGUAAACGAUGCG
Molecule: ribosomal RNA, 751 nt
Filed under: uncultured archaeon
Lineage: Archaea
Description: bacterial SSU rRNA
Rfam family: Archaeal small subunit ribosomal RNA
Source: RNAcentral